This 640-nucleotide non-coding RNA is filed under the name Pongo abelii (Sumatran orangutan). Lineage: Eukaryota; Metazoa; Chordata; Mammalia; Primates; Hominidae. The record is from RNAcentral.
GAAUGCAGAGACGACCACGUUGUAUGUGAAGCAUCCACUUUGCCUUGUACACCAGGGCAUUCAAUAACCACUUAAUAACUACAACCCUGAUGAUCCGAUUCACUACUAAAGUCUUCCGUGUUUAAAUUUUCAAAGUCAGAUUCUCCUACAGCAAUUGGCCCAAUUCCCCUUACUAGAGGCAACCACUGCUACUUAUCUCCCAUAUAUAUUUCCAGGAGUGAUGGUGAGGAGGAAUUGUGCCAGCUUGCUUCUUCACUGCCAUUUUGGAACCAGAACUCAGAACCUGAGAAAGAUGAAUGAAAUUUAGUGUUUCCCAUCCCCGAGAGACACCCAGCAUCCACAACUUCACACUCUGAUGCCAUUGUGUAUUUAUGCAAGGAAUACCAUAACUAAGAUGAGGUCUCGCUAUGUUGCCUAGGCUAGUCUUGAACUCCUGGCCUCAAGUGAUCCUUUUGCCUCAGCAUCCGGAGUCACUGGGAUUAAAGGCAUGAGCCACCGUGCUCAGGAACUUGACAUCAUCAGACAGUAAAUCAAGAGGUACUGACAACUGAGACUGAGUGAUGGUCCCUGCCUAGGAUUUGGAAUCUUUGCAUGAAAUAGGGACUCUAGCCACCAGCGACAAAGAAGUCAGGGAGACUGU